GGGAUAACUACUGGAAACGGUAGCUAAUACCGCAUAACGUCGCAAGACCAAAGAGGGGGACCUUCGGGCCUCUUGCCAUCGGAUGUGCCCAGAUGGGAUUAGCUUGUUGGUGGGGUAACGGCUCACCAAGGCGACGAUCCCUAGCUGGUCUGAGAGGAUGACCAGCCACACUGGAACUGAGACACGGUCCAGACUCCUACGGGAGGCAGCAGUGGGGAAUAUUGCACAAUGGGCGCAAGCCUGAUGCAGCCAUGCCGCGUGUAUGAAGAAGGCCUUCGGGUUGUAAAGUACUUUCAGCGGGGAGGAAGGGAGUAAAGUUAAUACCUUUGCUCAUUGACGUUACCCGCAGAAGAAGCACCGGCUAACUCCGUGCCAGCAGCCGCGGUAGUACGGAGGGUGCAAGCGUUAAUCGGAAUUACUGGGCGUAAAGCGCACGCAGGCGGUUUGUUAAGUCAGAUGUGAAAUCCCCGGGCUCAACCUGGGAACUGCACCUGAUACUGGCAAGCUUGAGUCUCGUAGAGGGGGGUAGAAUUCCAGGUGUAGCGGUGAAAUGCGUAGAGAUCUGGAGGAAUACCGGUGGCGAAGGCAGCCCCCUGGACGAAGACUGACGCUCAGGUGCGAAAGCGUGGGGAGCAAACAGGAUUAGAUACCCUGGUAGUCCACGCCGUAAACGAUGUCGACUUGGAGGUUGUGCCCUUGAGGCGUGGCUUCCGGAGCU
This 718-nucleotide ribosomal RNA is filed under the name uncultured bacterium. RNAcentral describes it as "bacterial SSU rRNA". It matches the Rfam family "Bacterial small subunit ribosomal RNA", at positions 140 to 853 of the family's 1533-position model. The record is from RNAcentral.